UUUAAGUACAACCAUGAGCUUUCGUGCUCAACUUUGAUCGUCCGUUUUAUUUGAAAACUUUUUAUAAUUAAUAUUUUUGUGGUUAUGAGAUGAUAAAACAUGAAUAGGACUUUAUGCUUAACUUAUGUUUAUAAUUUUUUUAAAUAAAAUUUUAAAUAAGACGGACAAUCAAAGUUGAGCAUAGAAAAGCAUGACUGUAUUUAAA
This is a non-coding RNA of Oryza meridionalis, 205 nucleotides long. NCBI's taxonomy places the organism in Eukaryota, Viridiplantae, Streptophyta, Magnoliopsida, Poales, Poaceae. The record is from Rfam.